CCUACGGGUGGCUGCAGUGGGGGAUAUUGCACAAUGGGGGAAACCCUGAUGCAGCGACGCCGCGUGUGGGAAGACGGUCCUCUGGAUUGUAAACCACUGUCCCCAGGGACGAAGAUGACGGUACCUGGGGAGGAAGCUCCGGCUAACUACGCGCCAGCAGCCGCGGUAAUAGGUAGGGAGCAAGCGUUGUCCGGAAUUACUGGGUGUAAAGGGAGCGUAGGGGGGUUGGAAAGGUGGGGGUUAAAUCUACCGGCUCAACUGGUAGUCGCACUCAAAACUGCUAUUCUUGAGUGAAGUAGAGGCUGGCGGAAUUGCUGGUGUAGCGGUGAAAUGCAUAGAUAUCACGCAGAACUCCGAUUGCGAAGGCAGCUUACUAGGCCAUAACUGACACUGAGGCACGAAAGCGUGGGGAUCAAACAGGAUUAGAUACCCGAGUAGUC
Molecule: ribosomal RNA, 440 nt
Filed under: uncultured bacterium
Lineage: Bacteria
Description: partial 16S ribosomal RNA
Rfam family: Bacterial small subunit ribosomal RNA
Source: RNAcentral